Non-coding RNA from Oryctolagus cuniculus (rabbit), 16546 nucleotides. Lineage: Eukaryota; Metazoa; Chordata; Mammalia; Lagomorpha; Leporidae. The record is from RefSeq and is a predicted model, not a curated record.
CGUGGGCCGCGGGGCGGGGCCAGGGCGGGUGCGCGGCGGCGGCGGGGUGGCUGGGCCGGCGGCGGCGGCGGUACGAGGCGCGCGCUCGGGGUCCCGGUCGCGAGGAGGAGGAGGAUGUGGCGCGCGGAGGGGAAAUGGCUGCCGAAAACAAGCCGGAAGAGCGUUUCCCAAAGUGUAUUCUGCGGAACUAGCACCUACUGUGUUCUCAACACCGUGCCACCUAUAGAAGAUGAUCAUGGGAACAGCAAUAGUAGUCAUGUAAAAAUCUUUUUACCGAAAAAGCUGCUUGAAUGUCUGCCGAAAUGUUCAAGUUUACCAAAAGAGAGGCACCGUUGGAACACUAAUGAGAGAUCAUGAUGCAGCCGUCCUUUUGGAUUUCUUUUUAAUAAUGUGUGACCCUUCACCUUUGAUCCCCUGACCUGCAUUACCUUGAUUUACUGCUGAAACUUUAGUAACCACGUAGCCGUCUCGACUGCAUGGAGGCAGCUGUUGGCCUGCAGCAGAUAAGCAUUUGCCCCUUUCUUGUCUUUAAGACUGAAGGAGCUCCACGGCCUGACUCAGCUCUGCAGAGCAGGUUUCUACAUGCUGCAUGGUCCCGAGGCCUCCAUGACCAGCCGUGAAGCCCCUCUGUGCCCUCGAGCAAGCUUCCCUUUUCUCCUAGCAAUGAUGUAUGCGCAUCUUGAUGACCGCCUGUCUCUGGUGAGAAUGGAAGCUCCGUGAGGGCAGGGCCUCUGUCUUGUCUCCCUUGUGUGCCCAGGGCAUAGGAUAGUGCACAGUGGCUUCAAAUAAAUGCUGCUGAGCGAACGAGGGAUCACGGUGUUGCGUCCUUCCUGCGUGUCUGCCUGUGAUUUGCUGUUUCUAUAUGUAUACUGUGUACUUCUGAAAUGAUAAAGCAGUGAAAAUUUGGGAGUGAAUAUAAAAAUUUGAUCUUGAGUGAAGUAACUGGCAGCCCCAUUGAGGAUGGUGUGUAUGAAGCUGAAGCACGCCAGGACUCGGAACCGUGAGUUAUUAUGCAUUUGCCGUGUGCCUUGGACUCGUGCCUCCCAAUGCAAAGGAGAAACAGAAGUCAUGUCUCUGGGAUAUAAUGUCAAGACGUCUAGCGACAGCUUAGAAAGAAACACCAAAGAAUAAAAGUUGGGAGGUAGAAAACAAGCAGAUGCUUAUAACAAUACGUUCUAGCAUCAAGUAAGCUAGAUAAGCUAUUUUCCACCUCAAGUGGGCUUUAACGAAGUGCAGAGGGGACAGUUGUGGUCACAUGCCACGAUGGAGCGCACAUGUGCCUGUGGUCCCAUCGCAUCGCGUCGCCUGGUGGUGCAGCCGGCCCAGCUGGUGUAAGCGCACACGGUAUUCUCACAGUGACAGAUCCCCUGCAGUCAUCAUGUGUGUGUGUGCACGUUGUACUACAAGAGUACCUGUGUUUCCCUCUUCACCCUCACCGAUGCUGUGGUUACCCCAUCUUUAUUCUUUGUGUGUUGGCACAGGCCAAAAUUUCAAUAUUGAUUUUGAAAUACUUCGAGGAGAUUUUUUUUUUUAACAAGGCCAAAAACAAUACCUAGGAGAUGGUAUCCUGUGAUGUACAAGGUGAGUUUAUUUAUAGCACUAACUUGUGAUGAAUUGUUCAAAGAACUAAAACUUCUUUUCAGGUAUAAUUUAUUUGUCAUUUUUGUUUUGUUCAUUUUAGUGUAAACUUCAGCUGUUCCUUAGGCCCUGAAGAAAUCAGCUCAAACACUAGUCCAAUUAAAAUCUGAUUCUGGUUUACAUAGAGAAGUGACUGGUAUUUCUGAUCAAAUCAGUAAAUAUGUUUUAGUUCCUUUUACGUAAAGAGUGAAAAGCAAAGUCCCUAUGUUUAUGUACUACAAAGCAAAACAAAAACCUUUGAGGCAUGAUGUAUUUUUCAUUAAACUUAUUGCUGAAUUAUUUUGAUUAUAUGCUCUUACCCACCCAUGAAAGUAUAAGGAAUUCUAGGGUGAAGAAAUAAUUGCAGAACGCAGUUAAUGAGGCAGAACUCACAAAUCCAUAUUUAUAGUUGUGUAGACAAAUAAAUCAUCAGUGGGGGAUAGAGAUUAAAGAUGAAGUCGAGAUUGCAUUGAAGAAAUGCAGGGUUGAGCUUUGUAUAGGAUAGAAUUUUACAGCCUCUCAGAGGGGUGUUCUGAGUGUUAAAUUAGUGCAGAGUGCUUAGAACAGCGACCCAGAAUACAGGGAGCACUCUUUCAGUGUGGUGUGUGUUCUUACAAGAUUGUAGCGUGAAGAGUAAAUCAGGUUUUAAUCAUGCUCAACAAACUGCACCAUAAUCUCAUCACGGCAAACGGCCAUCUCUAAUUCAAUCAAGAGUGACUUCCAAAGCCAAGAAGAAGCCAGAAUGUUCUGUACACAUGAAAGGACAGGGUUGGGACAGGGUAUCCAGGUGACAGUCCUGGUGACUGACGGAGCAAGUGCGUCACUCUUUGGUUUAUCCGGGAGUUAUUUUCAUAAAUCUAAGGAUCUGAUGAACUUUGUUUUUAGUAUAUCCUGCUGUUGCAUGUGUGUACCUUUUAUGGAGUUAAAAUGAAAUACAAGACCAACAAAAGCUUAAGCUGCUGUCAAGAUGCAUACUUAACACUUCAUUGAUUUGAAAUCUGGUUUUCACUCAACAUUGUUGCAGUUAAAAUGUGGGACAGAAAAUGUCAAAGAGCAGUUCCAUGACUUGGUGCCCUCUGGUGGCUCACAGAGGACAUCGGGCAGGGAGGGGCUCUGGCCCACGGCCUUGGAGGGCUCUGCUGGAGGGUGGGGUGGGGGGAGCCACGCUAGGGCUGGUUCUUGUGGAGAGCUUUUCUCUCGGAUGAGUUUGGAAAGUCCCAGGGUGGUUGGUUUAUGCCUAUUGUGAUUUUUUUCCUCCUGCGUAUUUAGUGCUUGUCGCUUUGCUGCUCCGUGAAGCGUGGCCCUGGAGUUGACUCUGACAGUUUUGCAGUGUAUUGAGUGAAAUUCUGGGAGAAAAUUUUGUGUGGCUUUCCUGUGAGAAGGUUCUGAAGGGAACCAGGACUUCAGGUCUUACGGGCAUCUCUUAACUCCCUUUUCCAGGGGACAUCACGUCCCUUCCUGCAUUAAUGAGCCUAAAUGGUGGCAUUUGGGUGGCUGUGGCCAGUUUGGCACAGGCCGGUAGUUGAUUAGCCUUGGGGGAGUGGUGUUUCCAUUCUGGUCCUGCCCACCCUGGUCUCUUGUCCAGAUGCUGAUACUCUGGGAUCAGGCAGAUCAGGAACCUAACCCCACCUCCAACCCUGGGAACGUCAGCGUCUCCUGUGGUUUCUUUAGCUGUGAAGCAGGGAUGAUUUAGAGCCCGCAUCAAGAGUUGGUUGUGAAGAUGCGGUGAGGCAGUGGAUCUAAGAGUCCUGACAGUGACUUGGGCCCUGGGGACCUAUUUGCCUCUCCCUCUCUCUCAAAGGUGGACCCUCCCCUCCCCUUCCUUUUCGUGUUUGGUAUUUUGUUACAGUAAUGCGAAGCUGACCAGCACAGAUGGGGAAGUUAAUGUCUGUGUUUCAGUGAAGCAUCUUUGCAGUCCCAUGGCAACUUGUCACCCAAGGACAGAGUCAGGAGUGGGGACCGUCCAGCCCAUGGGCCAUAUGAUGACUUGUCACCCAGUGACAGUGUGAGUCAGGAGUGGGGGCCAUCCAGCCUGUGGGCCAUAUGAGGCCUGUGAUUUCAUUUGGGGGCCGUCCAACCUGUGGGCCAUAUGAGGCCUGUGAUGUCAUUUGGGGGCCGUCCAGCCCCUGGGCCAUAUGAGGCCUGUGACGUUAUUAGGUUUGGCAACUGCAGGCAGGACUUGAAAUUGAAUAAAUCUAUAGCAGGCAAAUUAAUUUGGCAAUUUUAUAUGAGCUGCAAAUGAUAUUAUAAAUAUGCAAAUAAAUCUUGGCAGAGAAAAGGUUCCCCACCCCUGGUUUAAGUCAAGUUGGAAGCACACAUCUUAAAGAAAAGGUAGCCUCCAGAUGUUUCUUGCCUUCCGAAAUAAACUCACUGAGCUUCCCAAUUCCAAGACUAGCUAAUUUUCAUCCAUAGCUAGCAUUGUUCUAUGAAGAAAAUAUUGUGCAGUUUAAGAAAGUGGUGUCAUAGCAUCUCAGUUGCGUUCUUAACAACCCAAAGAGCCUACAGAGAGAGCCUUGUCCCCUCCUUUUUCAUGAACCCAGAUGAAGUAAGGGAGGCCAGGGAGUGGCCUGGUGGAGGCCACGUGACCAAGAGUUGGAGCCUGGGUCCCUUGGAGUCGUAGCAGCUUGGCCUGAGCACUCCUGGGCUUUCCCGCAGCUCUCCUACACCGUGAGGCUUUGAAAUGCUGCUGUUGCCCUCUACAAUGACUGAAUUCUGCCCUGUGGCCACACUGUUAAUCUGCAUUAACAGUUCUUUCCUAUCAAAUAGACAGUUUCUGCAGUUCAUUUCACUCAGCUCUUUACUGAAUACUGUGAAGUCAGUGUUGUUAGUCUUGGUUACCAAAACCCUGCCAUACCGCCCUGUGCCCCCCUGACAGAGUCGGUGCCAUGAGCUGUUGCUGUGUGGCCACACCUUGUUUGGUCUUUGGGUUACCUAUUGUGUUAGCCAUAAACUCGACAGCAGAGCCACUGAAUACUUGAAUGAGGAGGUGGUGUGGUCUGAAAAGUGACAGCUGGGCCAGUGUCCUUGUGAAGCUAAGCCCAGUGCUUUGCUGGAACACCGAGAGAAGGCAGAAGCACAUCUCCUAGGUCUGGUUGGCUUUUGGUUUAGCCAACACGAUGGGGGUAGAUGCUUUUAUAUACACUUCAAUGCCUCUCUCUGUGGCAUACAAGUGGCAUUGUGUUGCCCGUGCCUGGGUUUGUUUGCUUGUGGGUCAGGCCUCCACUCCUCACAGCCUCCCGGUUCAGAGGAGCCAUGUGCUGGUGGCUGCAGCAGCAGCUGGCCCCAGGCUGUGACGUCUCCUUGCCCACCCUGAGUUUGGAGGGUGGUGGUUUUUUUUUUUUUUUUUUUUCUUCUUCUUUUUAAUCAAUGACAGGUAAAUUUACAAAGCAAAAGGCAAAUAUAUGAAUUAAGAUAUGCUUUAACUUUUUUUUUUUUUUUUUUUUUGACAGGCAGAGUGGACAGUGAGAGAGAGAGACAGAGAGAAAGGUCUUCCUUUGCUGUUGGUUCACCCUCCAAUGGCCGCCGCGGCCGGUGCGCUGCGGCCGGCGCACCGCGCUGAUCCGAUGGCAGGAGCCAGGAGCCAGGUGCUUUUCCUGGUCUCCCAUGGGGUGCAGGGCCCAAGCACCUGGGCCAUCCUCCACUGCACUCCCUGGCCACAGCAGAGAGCUGGCCUGGAAGAGGGGCAACCGGGACAGAAUCCGGCGCCCCAACCGGGACUAGAACCCGGUGUGCCGGCGCCGCUAGGCGGAGGAUUAGCCUAGUGAGCCGCGGCGCCGGCCUGCUUUAACUUUUUAAAGUUCUAACAGCCUCAUUAAAGAGCCCUUUAUUUUCCUUUUUCUUAUAAAAAGCUGAAAAAAUAUCUUAAGUAUCUGCCUGUUCUAGCCUGGCACAUGGGAAUUCUAGGGCAGCAUCCAGAGUAAUUUUCUGCUGGCCUGAGGCGGGGGUGGGGUGGGGUGGGGGCAGCUCUUUGCUUCCGGAACCUCGGCUGUCCGCUUCAGCUGUGCUGCUGUGCAGCCCCCCUGGCCACAGUGAGAGGAUCCUCCAGUGCGUAAGUCUGCAGACUUCCAAAUAAAGAUUUAGCUUGCAGGUGCACGUUGUGGCGGGAGCUGUGCAUUCUGAUAGGCUGUGUCCCAGCAAGGACGGGCAUGCACCCAAGAGGUUGCCAACAGUGCUGGUUCCUGGCAUCCGCUGGGCAGUGGUCGUUCUGUGUAACACUUAACUGUAACCCAUGGGCCAGUCUGAGUGUGGUGUUUUGUGUUCAUUCAUAGCUUGCUCACCUAGACUGGAAAAGAGAUAAAAGAUUUUUGGUAUUUAAAUGACCCAAACCAUCAAGCCCACUCCUCACAUACACAACUGACCCAGUUAUCCAAACAUUUUCUAUCAUUAUAAAUUUCUUAACAGCCAAGGAUGAGCACUUCAUUCCCCCUCUUUUUCUUUACUUACUAAAUAGAUUCACAGUGAAAAUCCAACAGGCUCCCCUAUUUAAACUUUGGAAGUGAAGGUUCAUGCGUCGAGGUGCCUCGUGGCAAGCACAGGUGUAUAAAUGGAGAACUGGGCGGUUGUUUGUUUGAGUUGGGUGUGACCUGUGAAAGAGCCUGCCUUGGCUGCCCACCUCCCACUUCUCCGUACAGGACUGAAAUAGAAAUUGGGAGGUCCCCCCUCCUUAAGAUUGAUUUAUUUAUCUGAAAGUCGGAGUUACAGAGAGGAAGAGACAGAUCUUCCAUCCACUGGUUCACUUCCCAGAUGGCAGCAGCUGCCAAGGUCGAAGCUAAGAGCUUGGAACUCCAUCCGUGUCUCCCACGUGGGUGGCAGGGGUGCGAGCAUUUGGGCCAUCUUCUGCUACUUUCUCAGUUGCCAAUUUUGAGAACUAGCUAUUCUCUGUAAAAGUGAAGUUGCUGGGAAAUUUGUUUUAAAAAUGAUGCUACCUUCUAUUUCUGUGAACCCAGUAAAAAUAGCAUGGAAAAAUUUAAUUACGCUAUACUGAAUAUUUCAUGUGGAAUUAAGGGGCAAAAGCUGCCUUUGAAAAGCAUUAGGUUUGGAAAGAAUAAAGGCUUCGUAGGUUCUUUGGAAGAUACUAUAAUUAAAAGAUUUGCUCAAAUGUAUUUUUCCCUUUUUGAAGAGUUUAGAGAAAUCCACCCGUCCCUUCCCAAAUUGAUUACCUCUCAGACACCAGCCCCGCUUGGCAGUGGAUUUGGCGAGUCUGUGGUGGUGCUGAUUUGAUGGCUGCUUUCUGUAAAUGUAAAAUAGUUUUUUUAAUCUUCUGAUGUAGAUGUUUAAUAGAAAGUAACUGUUUGACUUGCUUUGGUUUCUGCUGAACCUGUAUUUGAAUCCACACAAACAGCUUGAAUAAAGUGAAAACAUCACUGGACCAGCUAUUUUAAACAUUUCAGGAUAUAAGGAUGCUAAAUGGGGUUCCCUUUUAAAAAUAGAAAUAGCUGCUUGCAUUUACAUAAUUACUGCUAACUAGCACAACAUUUUAAAUGGUGACAAACUCAGGGUGGAGAAAGUAUCUGUUUUUAAAAGCCUGGUGAAGGGUGCUGAAAGUGUUCUGUGAACAGCUGCUUGGGGUGGAGGGUCUUUGCAAACCCGGGAGCUGGCGACAGCCACGCCAAGGGAGGAGCAGGUGCGUGCCCAGGCAGGCUUCUCAGACCCCAGGCUGGCGCAGAGGCCAGACUUGCCAACCUUUAUUGUAGAAUCGUGGUUAUACGUGUUAGCAUUUAAGCUGCUUUGUUGCUUUGGACAGGGUGAAUGUUCUCUGCUCAGAGGGGCCUGGUGGGAUUAAGUUCAGUGUUGGGCAGAAGAGCAUGGACAGAUGUUUGUGAAAAUGAAGAGGAGGCUUACCCAGACUCAUUGGUUCAGGCCAGAAACCCAGGACUGUCCUUGAUGCCGCCUUUUUUUUUUCUCCCUUCUUUCAUCUCCAAAAUCAACUCUAUCUGCAAGUUCUUUUGUUUUCCUUCCAAGUUCUAUCCGACUCUCCACCUGUCCACUGGUGUCACCCUCGUCCAUGCCACACUUUUUCUUUGCCUGACAUCUGUCACAUUUUCCUAUUUGGACUCCUGUCUCCACUCUUGUUCCUCUUGCAGGAUAUUCCCAGUGCAAGGACUAGCAGAACCUAUUGAAAGUGUAGAUGGGAGUAGGCCAGUAGCUCGCUUCACCCCACAGUGACUUUGCACCUGUUUGGCGUAUAAUCAGCCUGCCCUCAUCUUUCAUUUCCCGUGGUUUGCCCCUUCCUUCUAGGCACACUGACCCCUCCCAUACCCAGGGUACACCCAGCGUGAUCCUGUUCAGCCUCUCUGUUUGCCCCACCCUCAGCCACCCGUCUCUGUGUGCUGACUCCUGUGUGCUGUUCAGGUCUCACCUCAGAUGUCACUGUGUCCUCAGAACCCUCCCUGCUGACCCAGUCUAACAGAGUCCCUGUCAUUCCCUCUCGUCGCAGUUUUCUCUCAUCAUGUUACUGUCUGAAAUAAUCUCUUGUCUUUUUUUUUUUCAGUUUUAUCCUUAUUUCCCCCCACCCCCCAGCUCUUACAGGGUAAGGACGGUGGUUGACUUUUCUCAGCUGUGUCCAGCAUCUGGACGUGCCUGAGUACAGACACUCACCGAUUAAGUGGACAUGGGAGGGGCCCCUGAAGAUGGCUGCCGUAGAAGGGGUGCACAUGGCUGCAGAGCUGCCUGAAGGGUGAUCCGCAGCCCCGUCAGCGUCUCCUCUAGUGUUUUCCUGGGAAGUGCUGCUCUUGACCUUGUCUUGGAGGUUUGAAAGUUAAAAAGUAAGGUGCAUCAGGUUAAAGCAGCCGCCUGCUGUGCAGGCAUCCCUUAUGGGCGCCCGUUUGAGCCCUGGCUGCUCCACUUUGAUCCAGCUCCCUGCUAAUAUGCCUAGGAAGGCAGCAGAGAAUGGCCCAAGUGUUGGCCCAAGUGUUGGCCCAAGUGUUUGGGUCCCUGCACCCACAUGGGAGACUAGGAUGAAGCUCCUGCCUCCUGGCUUUGGCCUGGCCCAGCCCCAGGCCAUUAUGGCCAUUUGAGGAAUGAACCAGCAGGUGGGAAACCUCUCUCUCUCUCUCUCUCUCUCUCUCUCUCUCUCUCCCUCCCUCCCUCCCUCUCCCUCUCUCCCUCCUUCCCUCCCUCUCUCUCCCUCUCUCUCCCUCUCUCUCCCUCAAAGUAAUUCUUACCUUCAAAUACAUAAAUAAACAAACCUUUAAAAUUUUUUUGAGAUUUAGAGAUUAAAAGAGUGGCUGUACUCAAGUGAGGUACACAGUUCAUGUUCCUAGUACUCUUGGCCUGCGGUCAGGGCUCAGCUGUGGGGUUGGCCUCUGGUGCCAGCGACUGAAUCUGAGUUCACUCCCCCCACGCCCGAGAGCCAGGCCUUUUCUCUGGCUUCUCCCACAGCACGCUUCCGAGCAUGAUGGGAACACUUCCUGGGUUCCAGCAUUCAUUCUGGAGUUAGGCAGCCAGUCUGUUAAGGUGAGGGUGUUUGCAGACUAAAUUUCGGUGAGCAGCUUUUAGCUACUUUGAUUUUCCUCCGGCAGUGUUGGGGGUGGGGGGCAGCCCCUGGCUCAACUACAUCCAGUUUCUUGUCUCCACUUGAGAAAGAAUUCUGGAAAGAGACGUAGAAGUGAGCAGGAGUGCAAUAUUUAUUUAAAGCAAAAGUACACACUCAAGAGUCUUAAGUGCAGGCAAGCUAGAGAGAAUGAGCAGCCCUUACCAAGGCCUGGAGCUGUCCUGUUAUAUGACCUGGAGGCAUAAGGGGUGGUGUUGGGGUGGGGCUUAAUUGAAUAUUCAAAGGGAGUGGGUUCUAGGUGGGGCUUGAAUACCACCCAUUUCUGUGCCCAUGUUUGGAAACCUCAGAGGGGUCAGGGCACUAGGUGUGUGAUGGGAGUGGGAGUCUUGGCCAUAGUGAUGCUGUUACAAUGACCUAAAGUUCAUCACAGGACACAGCUCCUGGCCGUACUGGAGAUUUCUAGUUGGCACUGAUUCUAAGUUUGGAAUGUUGCGGAACUUGCAGUUUUUGCUGCACGGAAACACGUGGUGGUUGGACAGUGGGUGGAAAAGGGGUUUGAAUGGUGCAAACUGGGCUGUCAUGGUUACAACACUGGCUGGGGCUUCUAAAUGGACUGGCCAGAGCUGUCAUGUGGGGUGGCUGUGGCUGUGGCUGUCACACGGGUCAGCUCAGCCAGGGCUGUUAAACCUCUGCUCCUCUGUGCUCUCCGCCCACAUCAGCAACAUCUAGAUUUUUAAGAAUAGGACGUUAGGCCACUGAGACCUAGAAAGUCAGUGAGGGUGCGUUGAAGUGGUUGCCUUUCCAAGUCGCUGAGGCUCAACUACGUUAUGCCUCUCCAAGCUGUGUGUUGGAGUGUUUAUCGUGCUCUUCAAUGUGCUAGCUGGGGACUGGAUUGUAGAACUCAGGAGACCUCUGUCUGCUUAGCACAAGCUCCCCUUUGUGCCAUAGACUUCUUGCUGCUGUCUCCCUGGGCUGUGUUACAGUGGUUGGGUUGUACCAAGAACAAUCACUUUACACUCAAUUGAAAGUGAAUGGACCUUGGUAGAACUGAGACCCAGGGCUAAGCCCUGGAGCUGGAGGAGGUGUCUUUGAUCAUCAGUGCUUUAGGCCAAGUUUCAGAAACUUCUCUCCCAUCUCCUGUCUGGGACCCAGUGCCAACCCAUCCAGGUGUUUGACUCUUCCUGGUUCCCCGGAGGAAUAAACAGGACGAGCACAGGCACACAGCCUCGCCUGUGCCGUCUUGAGGUGUGCGCAGUGGAGGUUGGUUUGCUCAGUGUAUGAGGCCUGUGUGUGGAGCAGGUGGGUGUUUUCCCGUGGCUGUGGCAGUGAGCUGUUACGUGUGCAUGUCAGCAGGGAGAAUACUUGGGACUGCAUGUCAGACACUGGUUUCCUGUUAGUGCAAACUCGGUAAGCCAACCCUGUGGAAAGUGACGAACAGAUUAUUAGAAGUGUGCGCAGUAUGCCACAUUCUGUAUAUGGUAAUUAACUGCUUAAUUGUUUGAAAAUGAAACAGGCCCCUCUGAUCCAACCUGAAUGGGAAACGGCUGCGAUCAAACCUGAAGCAGUGAGAUUGGCACUUCCAGAUGGACAUACUUGUGUUUAAUUGGCCUUGAAUGUUACUGUUAGCCAUUUCUCUCUUUCCUUGAAAGAGCCAAGAUGAUUUCUUGCUCACAACAGCUUGUUUUUUCUUUUUUCUUCCUAUUGUCUUUUCAUGGUACAAUAUUUACAAAAGUUUCUGGCUAAUCCUUAGUCCAUCACUUUCCCUCUUCCUUGCAAAUGCUGUGUUUUCUAAAAACUGCCGCCUUAGGAAACUUCCGAGUCCUGAUUUGGUUGUCAGAUCGCUGCUUCGUACUCCUUGUCUGGUUACUGCAGUUGGCUCACCAAGCGUUUCUCAGACUUGGCUGUGGAGCUUAAAUACUUGCUAGAAUUUUAGUGUGUCCUGAUUUUGAGAAGAAUAUUGUAUAUAAUUUACAAGAUCUGUUAAUACAGUCUGUGUGCCGGUGAGGGACGGUGGCAUUGGCCUGUGACUUGGCUCCUCAGGGUGGCGCAGUGCAGUUGGUUUCCCAGGGGACAUCCGGGGAGGUGCUGGGAGAGGCUUCCGCCGAGCCUCUGAAUGGAAUCCCCUUUGCUUCACCUGGCUGAGCUCGGCUGGCCUGAGUCCAGGAGGGACCUCUUUGUAUUAAUUAAUUAAUUUAUUUGAGAGGCAGAGUUACAGACAGAGGGAGAGAGAAAGGUCUUCCAUCUGCUGGUUCACACCCCAAAUGGCUGCAGCGGCCAAAGCUGAGCCAGUCUGAAGCCAGGAGCCAGGAGCUUCUUCCAGGUCUUCCACGUGUGCAGGGGCCCAAGGACUUUGGCCAUCUUCUGCUGCUUUCCAAGGUCACAGCAGAGAGCUGGAUCAGAAGAAGAGCAGCUGGGUCUCGAACCGGUGCCCAUGUGGGAUGCCGGUGCUGCAGGCGGAGUCUUAACCUACCACCCCACAGCGCCGGCCCCCUCAUCACAUAUCAGUCCUCCAAACAGGUACCUGGUUGACCUGGAACCCCAGGUUUGCUUUGCUUGGGUUAUUAUUUCUAAUGGAGAAGUGGACAGUCUUGACUCAGUGCCAAGAUUCGCUUGCCUUCCAUCACUUCCUUGUGUCUGCAGGGAGUUCAGGUUGUCCCUGUGUCUGUGACGCCGUCUGUGCUGUGCUGCUCCUCCGUGUGGGAGGAUGUGCCGCCCUGGUGGCCCCGGCUCUGAUGUGCGUGAUGAUGAGUCGUAAAGGCCGUGUGCUGGGAGGCAGGCUGCAGCCAGUGCGUGCUGGGUUACAGGGUUUUCCUGACGGAUGGAGCCUCUUCUGGGAGGCAGCCUACUCCUUCAUGUGCACAGCCUUUCUAAAUAAAUGACUGCUUUCUGAUAUUUUGAAUCAUUUCCUUCAGCACAUGUUUUGUUGCUGUGGUUUGAAAGCUUGCCAGAUACAUGCCUUUGCGCAAGUCCCUGUAGGGCUGGGUAUACAAUCAGACCAAACCGUGUGAUUGAAGGCAGAACAUAAUUGGGAACUCAACAAUCGCCUUAUUUUGAUAGAAUGGUGGUGGGGUGCUUGGGAGUUAUUUCUCCGUUAAAUAUGUAAGACACACAAACACACAUAGGGUGUCACUGCCUCCUAACACAAACACACGUAGGGUGUCACUGCCUCCUAACAGAGAAGUGUCUGAAGCGCCACUGGGCAGAACACCAGCAUGAUAAAUAAUUACUUGACUUUUGUGAUGGAGGGAAUAGUUAACUUCAGACACGUCCUAGCACUUGACACCAUAGAUGUCAGGACCUCAGUCACGCUACGUAAGGUGGCAGGAGGGAAGAAAAUGAGAUGGAGUAGAAAUACAUUUUAAACCCAAGCCUCUGUCAGGUCUGCCACCAGAUGAUCUGUUUCUUGUUUCUCUGUACUUGGGUGAUUGAGCCAUAAACUUGGUGAACUUGAUGUCGCCUCCCCGUUAAACAAGGGUUUUUGCUUUUUUUACGUUUCAAACACAGCUGUGUGUUUUUUUAUUGUUGGAUUGUCAGUUACCUGUAAUUGAGACCUUUCAUGGGCCUCUGUGCUGGUGGGAAAAAUGCUAUUAACAGCCUCCCUCCCUGGCGUGCUUUCAGAUGAAAUUGAGAGCUCUUUGGAAAGUCAUAUGUGAAAUCCAAAGUUUUGUUUACAAGGCCAGUAGAGAUCGUAUUACCAGGAGCUUAGGAUAAAUACCCGGAUGAAAGAGGAUGCAGGGGCACCGUAGCAGCUGCUGCUGCUUCCCUGCCAGGCACGCCGGUGUGCGCCAGGCCCGCCGCCAGCACUGCGGACUGCACAGGAGAAAGCCGUGAUGCGUGAGAAGUCGCAGCUCUCCUAGUUCCUCCACGAUGGUGUGUCCUGUUGCUGCGCCAUCAGCCAGCCUCCCUUGUCGGCUGCAAGAGAGCGUCAAGCUAAUAAGGAAAUAAAACUCCGAGGUCAAAGUGUUGUCAUCCCAGUUCACGCAUUUACAGUGAAUUUUCCCCAAAUUUUUGCUUCUGGAAUUUUAGGCACUCUAAUAAUGCAAAAGCAUCUGUCUUUCAGAGUUCCACCCAGUCAGAUCAUUCCAGGUGCAGAAUUUAGCUUUUAUUUGCAAACAACAUGAUUAUGAGAACCCCUAUGGAACCUAUCCAAGAAAAAAAUCUCCUACAAGAAUAAUACGUGACUUUAACAAGGCUACAAGGCAUAAGAUCAAUUUUACUCCUAUAUGUUAGCAACACACAAUUCAAGGCAGACGUUUAAAAGUACUGUUUACAAUAGCUUCAGAAGCAUCAAAUACCUUAGAAUAAAACUAAGGAAAUGUCAACAACCUCUGCACUGGAGACGAUAGAAUGUCACUGAGCGAAGUUAGAGAUUACAUAAAUGGAGAGUUAUUUUAUGUAUUCAAAGACGCAGUAUUGUUAGGAUGCCUAUUUUCCCUAAAUUGAUUUAUGAAUUCAAUGCCAGCCUGGUCAAAAUUUAGACAAGCUGAUUGUAAAGUUUAUAUGGAAAUGUAAAGGGCUUAAAAAACCCAAAUCAGUUUUGAAAAAGAACAAAGCUGGAAGAUUGCACUGCCUGAUUUCAAGACUUCCUAUAAAGCUAACAGUAAUCAAGACAGCGUGGUACUGCAAGAGCAUAGACACAGGAAUCAAUGGGACAAAAUAGAGUCCAGAAAUAGACCUGCACACUCCUGGGAUCAGCUGGCUGGAUGAGGUGCACAGGCAAUUCGCUAGAGAGGGGAGAGCGGCAGUGGAGCCGGAAACAGAGGAAAUCCCUCAGCUGAUACUCUAUGUGUACCAAAGACAGACAAAAGCCUCAAAAUGGAGGCUAGACCUGAGUUUAAAUUCUGAAACUAUGAAACUUCCAGAAGAAAACAUAGAUGAAAAGUUCUGUGACUUUGGGAUAGGCGAUGAUGUCUUAGAUAUGGCACCAAAAACACAACCCUAAGAAUUGGAAGUUAGAUUUUAUAAAAGUGAAGAAAUUUUGAAGAAGACAUCGUUAAAACAAUGAAAAGGCAAACCAAACAGGAGGAACCUUGUGCAAAGCAUGUAUUUAAUAAAGGGGCUUGGGAUGAGAAUAUAUGAACAAUUCUUUAAAACUCAGUGGUUUGAAAACACCCUAAUUUUGAAGUGGGCGAGAGAUUUGAAUAGACUUCUGAAGAUACAGACGGCCACAAAGCACGUGAGAGAUACGCAACGAUGUUAGUCAUCAGGGAAUAAAGCUGAAACCAGGCCGCGGCAGGAGCACACACCUGUCGGGAUGUCUUCAAAAGGCAGAAUGAAACCAGAACACCCUGGUGCUGCCAGUGCUGGAGAGCCGCGGGAGCCACUGAAACUCCUGUCUUGGUUGGCAGAAUGCAGAGUGGCUCAUCCAGUUUAGAAACAAAUUUCAGUUUCUGAUAAAUCUACACUUUAAAAUUUUAAAAAUGCACUUGUAAUAUGACCCAGGGGCCACACUUUUAGGUAUUUUUAUCUAAGAGAAUGACAGGUUAUUUUUUAUGCAGAAACACGCAUGUGAAUGUUUACAGUGGCUUUACUCACUAUCCCCAGAAAUUGAACACAACCCAAAUGUCAUUCAGCUGGUGAAUGAAUUAACAACUUCAUUGAAAUACUAGUCAGCAGUGGGAAGAAACAAACUGACAUAAUGCCGACGAAUCCCAAAUGCAUCAUGCGUAGUGCUCAAAAGACUACAGGCUGUCUGGUGCCAUUUAUGCCACCGUUUGGAAAAGGCAAAACUGUGAAAAGAAAGCCCUAAAUGGUGUUGGGGACUGGGGAUGGUGGUGGCUCCCCACCUGCAUGUAGGACAUGUGGGGUUUUUUGGGGUCAUGGCAGUUUUCUAUCUCUUGAUUGUGGUUGUGGCUACACAGCUGUAUAGAGUUUGUCAAAAUUAUGAACCUGCUCACUUUGAGCAAGUACUGCUCAGAGGAGGAUACACAAGUGGCCAGUGGGUGCUCAGUUCUUCCGUCGCAGAGAAAUAUGAACUAAAACCACCAUGAGAAACCGUCUGUUAGCACAGCUGAAUUGAAAAGAUGGCUGUGGCGCUCCUGUGUUUCUGGUGAGGGGAUUAAGUGAUUUCUCUUUGGAGGCCUGUUUGACAGCCCUCCCUCCCCCAUUACACAUACAUCUGCUGUGACCCAAUAAUUUAACUCUUGUCUGUUUACCUCGGAGAAAUGAAAGUACAUGCUCACAGAAUUAUAUGAACAAGACCAUAGAAAGCCCUAACUGGAAAUAGCCCCAGUGUCCAUCCACUGAAAAAUGAAUAAGUAGUUCCAGUAGAAUCCUGCUCAGCAGUAAAGAAUGAACUGCCCGUACGACCAUGCGGGUGGAGCGCAAAGCUGACAGCAGUCCCCGCCGUAUGAGCGUCUCCAGGUAAAGUCAGAGCGGAUGCGACGUGGUCAGAAGUGGUUUCUUGAGAGAAGGAAGGGAAGUUGAUUGUCUAGAAGGAGGUAAGCAGGCUUGGUUGAAGUGUGCUAACUCCCAUUCUGGGUGUUGAUUACACGAUGUGUACAAUUGGUAGAACUCACUGGACAGAUUAAGAUCUGUACAUUUUGUUGGGCGUUACUUAUGCCUUAAUAAAAAACUGUCUUUAAAUUCCACUGUAGUAGACACUUCAUUCAGUCCUAAAUCCUCUCAAGUGUGUACUUUAUUUGGUUGUCGUCGUGUGCAUUUUGUGUAGCCCCAGUUUUUAUGUGGUGCAUCUUGUUGGCGUCUUCAGUGGUCCACUGAGUCUCCAGGAAAAGCUUCACUUCUGCUUGAGCUGUUGGUGCAGCUCCGGCCUUGGACUGUUGAGGCUUCCAAACAGGUGAGUAGCCCAUGUUUCUGACUCGGGUCCCAUUGCAUCUUCCUUUGUUUAACAUUCCAGUCUCUGUAGAACCUCAGUGUUGCAGAGAACUUGAAGACCUUCCAUCUGCUUCUCGUAAGGGACAGGCACUACUAGAAGCUAGGGUGGCCAGCAUCUGACCUUAUGGGCCGAGCUGGGUGAGCGGGGACAAGGAGCGGUGCUGGGGCCAGCAUCCGGCCUUAUGGGCUGAGCUGGGUGAGUGGGGACAAGGAGCGGUGCAGGGGCCAGCAUCCGGCCUUAUGGGCCGAGCUGGGUGAGCGGGGACAAGGAGCGGUGCUGGGGCCAGCACUGUGGCAGAGUGGGUGAAGCCUCUGCUUGCGAUGCAGCAUCUCUAUGGACGCCAGUUCAUGUUUUGGCUGCUCCAUUUCUGAUCAAGUUUCCUGCUGUGGCCUGGGAAAAGCAGUGGUAGAUGAACCAAGUCCUUGGGCUCCUGCUACCCUCAUGGGAGACCUGGAAGAAGUUCCUGACUUUGGCCUGGCCCCAGCACUGGCUGUUGUGGCCAUCUAGGGAGUGACCUAGGAGAUGAAAGAUCUCUUUCUUUCAGCCUCGCCCCUCCCUGUAACACUUUCAAAUAAAUAAAUACAUCUUAAAAAAAAAAAAAA